This 447-nucleotide ribosomal RNA is filed under the name uncultured bacterium. Its description in RNAcentral is "bacterial SSU rRNA". It matches the Rfam family "Bacterial small subunit ribosomal RNA", at positions 328 to 792 of the family's 1533-position model. The record is from RNAcentral.
GCGCCAGACUCCUACGGGAGGCAGCGGUGGGGAAUAUUGCACAAUGGGGGAAACCCUGAUGCAGCGACGCCGCGUGAGUGAAGAAGUAUUUCGGUAUGUAAAGCUCUAUCAGCAGGGAAGAAAAUGACGGUACCUGAUUAAGAAGCCCCGGCUAACUACGUGCCAGCAGCCGCGGUAAUACGUAGGGGGCAAGCGUUAUCCGGAUUUACUGGGUGUAAAGGGAGCGCAGACGGCAGUGCAAGUCUGGAGUGAAAGCCCGGGGCUCAACCAUGGAACUGCUUUGGAAACUGUGCAGCUGGAGUGCAGGAGAGGUAAGCGGAAUUCCUAGUGUAGCGGUGAAAUGCGUAGAUAUUAGGAGGAACACCAGUGGCGAAGGCGGCUUACUGGACUGUAACUGACGUUGAGGCUCGAAAGCGUGGGGAGCAAACAGGAUUAGAUACCCUAGUA